GGUUCUAGUUCACCAAGCUUGAUGAAUUUGAUUCGGCCUUAAAACUCUGUAUGCAGUAUACAAGUUUCUAUGAAUUAAACAGCACUAAAAUCCAAUAAACAGUCAAUACAAGGAACAAGUAAUCACCUUCUUGAGUAACCAAGAAAAAUUGGUUUUUAUAUUCUUGAGUUUCAUAGUUUCCUUUCCAUUCCAAUCUCACAGCAAUUACCUGGAAAGUUAAUCUUCA
Molecule: unclassified non-coding RNA, 226 nt
Filed under: Hevea brasiliensis (rubber tree)
Lineage: Eukaryota; Viridiplantae; Streptophyta; Magnoliopsida; Malpighiales; Euphorbiaceae
Source: RNAcentral